Molecule: long non-coding RNA, 148 nt
Organism: Monomorium pharaonis (pharaoh ant)
Lineage: Eukaryota; Metazoa; Arthropoda; Insecta; Hymenoptera; Formicidae
Exons: 3
Source: RefSeq, a predicted model, not a curated record
UGUGGGCUGAUCGCCGCCGGGAGGGGCGAAAGGGCGGAGGGAAAGAGAGAGAGAGCGCCUGCCACCACACGCGCUUGCUCGCUCGCGAACGCACAACCGCCACCGUACCCGUCGUGAAACCGACUGCGCGCAUGUACACUGCGUUGAG